RNAcentral lists this ribosomal RNA (563 nucleotides) under uncultured bacterium. Its description in RNAcentral is "bacterial SSU rRNA". It matches the Rfam family "Bacterial small subunit ribosomal RNA", at positions 94 to 672 of the family's 1533-position model. The record is from RNAcentral.
AGUGGCGGACGGGUGAGUAACGCGUGAGCAACCUGCCUAUCAAAGUGGGAUAACACAGGGAAACUUGUGCUAAUACCGCAUGAUGCAUAUUAGUCGCAUGUCUGAUAUGCCAAAGGGAAACCGAUGAUAGAUGGGCUCGCGUAUGAUUAGAUAGUUGGCAGGGUAACGGCCUACCAAAUCGACGAUCAUUAGCCGAACUGAGAGGUUGAACGGCCACAUUGGAACUGAGAAACGGUCCAGACUCCUACGGGAGGCAGCAGUGGGGAAUAUUGGGCAAUGGGCGAAAGCCUGACCCAGCGACGCCGCGUGAGGGAAGAAGGUCUUCGGAUUGUAAACCUCUUUCAGCAGGGAAGAAGCAAGUGACGGUACCUGCAGAAGAAGUCACGGCUAACUACGUGCCAGCAGCCGCGGUAAUACGUAGGUGGCGAGCGUUAUCCGGAAUUACUGGGUGUAAAGGGUGUGUAGGCGGGGAAGCAAGUCAGAUGUGAAAAUUAUGGGCUCAACUCAUAACCUGCAUUUGAAACUGUUUUUCUUGAGAGUGGGAGAGGUAAACGGAAUUCCUG